UGAAUACGAGAUGCUACGGCGUCGAAGCAGUCUAUGUCAUACUUCCAAGAAAAGCUUGCACUGUCAUAAACAAAUAAUGCCUGUACCAUAACCGACACAGGUGGGUAGGUAGAGUAUACUAAGGGGCGCGAGAUAACUCUCUCUAAGGAACUCGGCAAAAUGACUCCGUAACUUCGGGAGAAGGAGUGCCUUAUUUUAUAAGGUUGCAAUAACAAGAUCCAAGCAACUGUUUACCAAAAACACAGGUCUCCGCUAAGUCGUAAGACGAUGUAUGGGGGCUGACGCCUGCCCAGUGCCAGAAGGUUAAAGAAGUUGGUUAGCAUCCGCGAAGCUGAUAACUGAAGCCCUGGUGAACGGCGGCCGUAACUAUAACGGUCCUAAGGUAGCGAAAUUCCUUGUCGGGUAAGUUCCGACCCGCACGAAAGGCGUAAUGAUUUGGAUACUGUCUCAGAGAGGGGCUCGGUGAAAUAGACUUGUCUGUGAAGAUGCGGACUACCUGCACCAGGACAGAAAGACCCUAUGAAGCUUUACUGUAACUUGAAAUUGAAAUUGGACUUUACUUGCGCAGUAUAGGUGGGAGGCGUUGAGAAUAUUCUUGCGGGAAUGUUGGAGCCAUCAGUGAGAUACCACUCUUGUAAUGUUAGAUUUCUAACUUUGUAUCAUUAUCUGGUCAAAGGACAGUUUCAGGCGGGCAGUUUGACUGGGGCGGUCGCCUCCCAAACGGUAACGGAGGCGCACAAAGGUUUCCUCUGAACGGGUAGAAAUCGUAUCUAGAGUGUAAAGGCAUAAGGAAGCUUGACUGUGAGACCUACAAGUCGAGCAGGGACGAAAGUCGGUCUUAGUGAUCUGACGGUGCUGAGUGGAAAGGCCGUCACUCAACGGAUAAAAGUUACUCUAGGAUAACAGGCUGAUCUCCCCCAAGAGUUCACAUCGACGGGGAGGUUUGGCACCUCGAUGUCGGCUCAUCGCAUCCUGGGGCGGUAGUACGUCCCAAGGGUUGGGCUGUUCGCCCAUGAAAGCGGUACGCGAGCUGGGUUCAGAACGUCGUGAGACAGUUCGGUCCAUAUCCGGUGUAGGCGUUAGAAUAUUGAGAGGAGCCUUCUUUAGUACGAGAGGACCGAGAAGGACAUACCUCUGGUGUACCAGUUAUCGUGCCAACGGUAAACGCUGGGUAGCUAUGUAUGGAGUGGAUAACCGCUGAAAGCAUCUAAGUGGGAAGCCCACCUCAAGAUAA
RNAcentral lists this ribosomal RNA (1234 nucleotides) under metagenome. RNAcentral's name for it is "bacterial LSU rRNA". It matches the Rfam family "Bacterial large subunit ribosomal RNA", at positions 1564 to 2807 of the family's 2925-position model. The record is from RNAcentral.